Molecule: ribosomal RNA, 253 nt
Filed under: uncultured bacterium
Lineage: Bacteria
Description: partial 16S ribosomal RNA
Rfam family: Bacterial small subunit ribosomal RNA
Source: RNAcentral
UGCGGAGGACCCGAGCGUUAUCCGGAUUUAUUGGGUUUAAAGGGAGCGUAGGUGGAUUGUUAAGUCAGUUGUGAAAGUUUGCGGCUCAACCGUAAAAUUGCAGUUGAAACUGGCAGUCUUGAGUACAGUAGAGGUGGGCGGAAUUCGUGGUGUAGCGGUGAAAUGCUUAGAUAUCACGAAGAACUCCGAUUGCGAAGGCAGCUCACUAGACUGCAACUGACACUGAUGCUCGAAAGUGUGGGUAUCAAACAGG